CAGGGGAGGAAGACGAUUCGCCGAGGCCGAGUUCGUCAAAGAAAAAUAGCUUCCCGAUACUUCAGAGGCGGUCGUACCUUCUGAUGCUCGUUUUCUGGGCUUUCAAGCUGUUGAAAUCCCACACUUAUAUUUGCUCAAGCUGUUGAAAUCCCACACUUAUAUUUGCUCAGAGGAAAACAUGGGAACCAUUUGCUGGAUGCUGAAGGUGGAAUUAGUUUUGAAGGGGGAGAUGAUAUUGUAUGACAUUCGAGGUGAUAUUCCAGGAUGGCAGCCAUGGCAGGUGUGAGAGUGGUGGCCGGAGAUUGGGAUCUGCCGUAUCGGUGGUUGAGGGCAUUUAUUAUUAAUUUAAGUUUUUAAUUUUUUAAUUUCCUUUUUAACAAGGAAAAAAAAUGUGUAAAAUGCUGGUUUAACCCUAAACUACUGACAAGUGGAAAUUGAUCCUGAACUAUUUUUCUAAUAAAUUAAUUUUUUGAACUAUUUAAAAUUAGUCAAUUAAUUUUUGUUUUGUUAGAUUACGUCUAUUAUUUCGUCAAAUUCAAAGACAAAUUAGUUAUUUUAUCAUAAAUUCUUAUUUGUCAAUUAUAAGCAUUAAUAAAAUUAUGACAUAUAAACACAAAAUAAUGUGUAAAACAUAUAGCAUAAAAGGUUGUACUCAGUGCACAAGGCUUCGGCUUUACGCAGGGUCUGGGAGAGGUGAAUGUCGGCUAGCCUUACCCCCAUUUUAUGGAGAGACUGCUCCCAAGUCUCGAACUCGAGACCUACCGUUCAUGGGUGAAGGUACUUGUCAUCGCACCAAAUACGACCUCUUUAUAAAACAUAUAGCAUAAUAAGAAAAUAUCAAAAAUUGAACAUUUAUGUAAAACAUAUAACAUAAUAAGAAAACAUAAAAAAAUGAACGUUUACAUUACACAUUAUUUUAUAUUCAUAUUUCAUAAUUUUAUUGAUGAUAAUAGUUGACAAAUAAAAAUUGAUGAUGAAAAGAUUAAUUUGCUUUUGAAUUUGAGAAGAUAGUAGAUAGAAUCUACCAACAAGGAAUUAAUUGAUUAAUUUUCCAAAAAAAAUUAGUUUAAAUGGUCAAUUUCAACUGAAAUAAUAACUCAAAUAAUCAAAUAACAGUUUGCUCAAAAUAAAACAUAAAGAAGGCUAUAAGUUCAGCUGCAAAAAAAUGUGCGCGUGGCAAAAUUUGAGUGGAAGUACUAAAAAGCAGCUGACGUAUACCGUAUCACUCGAUAAUUUCUCCCAUUAGUGUAAAAUGUGUAAAAUUAAAAAAUUGUGGCACAUUUUACAAAUCACUUCAAAUGUCGAGGGUUUGAGAUGUAAUUAGCCAUUUUAUUUAUAUAACCGCAC
RNAcentral lists this long non-coding RNA (1347 nucleotides) under Malus domestica (apple). RNAcentral describes it as "long non-coding RNA (MDOM_LNC003548)". The record is from RNAcentral. Lineage: Eukaryota; Viridiplantae; Streptophyta; Magnoliopsida; Rosales; Rosaceae.